Molecule: non-coding RNA, 606 nt
Organism: Arachis ipaensis
Lineage: Eukaryota; Viridiplantae; Streptophyta; Magnoliopsida; Fabales; Fabaceae
Source: RefSeq, a predicted model, not a curated record
AGUAUAAGAAAUUAAUAAUAUUAAUAAUAACAAUUCCUGUUUUGUACAGAAGUGAUACAAAGAGUUUGUGGACUUUGUUAAGGAAAUUUCUGAUUCCUUGCUAGUUUUAUGGUGUCCUCAUCAGAAUAAAUAUUAUCUCAGGUGCUUGUCAGCAAUAAACCCAAAGAGAGUUUAAUUUGUCUUCUGCAACUUCUUCAUCUUUUUGAAGCACAAGAUCUUCUACUUCAGUUACCAUCCAAUUCCCAUUGUGUUUUCUCAAGCAAAGGGAGUUGCUGUGUGCGUGGGAUCCAGAGAGAAACAAAUAUCUUGAUUUCUUAAUUGCUUAUUCUGCUGUUAAUCAGGGUAACAAUGAAGAUUAAGCAAUGAAGAUUAAGCUGACUAUUAUUGUGGUUUAUUGGCUAAGAUAGAAUGCUACUUAGAAUCUUUACAUGUAUGGUUGACUAAUGAUUUUUAUUAGAAGAUACUUUUAUUGGCUAAGUGAUAUUAUGGUUUUGAUAUGGCUAUGCUUAUUUUAGUUUGAGUUGUAUGAAUUUUUAUAGUUAACUUCAUUCUAGUACUUUUGGAUCAAUGUUAUAAAUAUAUUUUGGUUAGAGACAAUUUUUAUUA